CGAGGGGCAGCGGGGAGUGAGGCUUGCCUUACUCUGCCGGCGACCGGCGCACGGGUGAGUAACACGUAUGCAACCUACCCUUUACAGCGGGAUAACCGGAAGAAAUUUCGCCUAAUACCGCAUAUACUCCUUGGGAGGCAUCUUCCGAGGGGGAAAGAAUUUCGGUGAAGGAUGGGCAUGCGUCGCAUUAGUUAGUUGGCGGUGUAACGGACCACCAAGACGACGAUGCGUAGGGGUUCUGAGAGGAAGGUCCCCCACACUGGUACUGAGACACGGACCAGACUCCUACGGGAGGCAGCAGUGAGGAAUAUUGGUCAAUGGCCGAGAGGCUGAACCAGCCAAGUCGCGUGAGGGAAGAAUGUCCUAUGGAUUGUAAACCUCUUUUGUCAGGGAGCAAAGUCACCCACGUGUGGGUGUUGGAGAGUACCUGAAGAAAAAGCAUCGGCUAACUCCGUGCCAGCAGCCGCGGUAAUACGGAGGAUGCGAGCGUUAUCCGGAUUUAUUGGGUUUAAAGGGUGCGUAGGCGGGUUAUCAAGUCAGCGGUAAAAUCGUGGAGCUCAACUCCAUCCAGCCGUUGAAACUGAUGAUCUUGAGUGGCGAGAAGUAUGCGGAAUGCGUGGUGUAGCGGUGAAAUGCAUAGAUAUCACGCAGAACUCCGAUUGCGAAGGCAGCAUACCGGCGCCCGACUGACGCUGAAGCACGAAAGCGUGGGUAUCGAACAGGAUUAGAUACCCUGGUAGUCCACGCAGUAAACGAUGAAUACUAAUUGUGUGCUCCGAAUGAGGAGUGCGUGAUACAGCGAAAGCGUUAAGUAUUCCACCUGGGGAGUACGCCGGCAACGGUGAAACUCAAAGGAAUUGACGGGGGCCCGCACAAGCGGAGGAACAUGUGGUUUAAUUCGAUGAUACGCGAGGAACCUUACCCGGGCUCAAACGCAGGAGGGAUGUUUUUGAAAGGAGGCAGCUCUACGGAGUCUCCUGCGAGGUGCUGCAUGGUUGUCGUCAGCUCGUGCCGUGAGGUGUCGGCUUAAGUGCCAUAACGAGCGCAACCCCUACCGCCAGUUGCCAACGGGUAAAGCCGGGAACUCUGGCGGGACUGCCGGCGCAAGCUGUGAGGAAGGCGGGGAUGACGUCAAAUCAGCACGGCCCUUACGUCCGGGGCGACACACGUGUUACAAUGGCAGGUACAGCGGGAAGCCACUUGGCGACAAGGCGCGGAACCCGAAAACCUGUCUCAGUUCGGAUUGGAGUCUGCAACCCGACUCCAUGAAGCUGGAUUCGCUAGUAAU
Molecule: ribosomal RNA, 1288 nt
Filed under: uncultured bacterium
Lineage: Bacteria
Description: partial 16S ribosomal RNA
Rfam family: Bacterial small subunit ribosomal RNA
Source: RNAcentral